This 475-nucleotide ribosomal RNA is filed under the name uncultured bacterium. Its description in RNAcentral is "SSU rRNA". It matches the Rfam family "Bacterial small subunit ribosomal RNA", at positions 26 to 518 of the family's 1533-position model. The record is from RNAcentral.
AGGACGAACGCUGGCGGCGUGCUUAACACAUGCAAGUCGAGCGGAAAGGCCCUUCGGGGUACUCGAGCGGCGAACGGGUGAGUAACACGUGAGCAACCUGCCCUUAGCUCUGGGAUAGCUCCGGGAAACCGGAAUUAAUACCGGAUAUGACCUAGGCCGACAUCGGCCGUGGUGGAAAGUUUUUCGGCUAGGGAUGGACUCGCGGCCUAUCAGCUAGUUGGUGGGGUAAUGGCCUACCAAGGCGACGACGGGUAGCCGGCCUGAGAGGGCGACCGGCCACACUGGGACUGAGACACGGCCCAGACUCCUACGGGAGGCAGCAGUGGGGAAUCUUGCGCAAUGGGCGAAAGCCUGACGCAGCGACGCCGCGUGGGGGAUGAAGGCCUUCGGGUUGUAAACCCCUUUCAGCAGGGACGAAGCGAAAGUGACGGUACCUGCAGAAGAAGCGCCGGCUAACGUACGCGCCAGCAGCCGC